This 581-nucleotide unclassified non-coding RNA is filed under the name Hevea brasiliensis (rubber tree). Lineage: Eukaryota; Viridiplantae; Streptophyta; Magnoliopsida; Malpighiales; Euphorbiaceae. The record is from RNAcentral.
AGAUAAGAAAAUUUCUCCCAAGGCAGCAAAUGACAUCAAACUGAUAAAUGCGGGGAAAAUUUUGGAAAACAACAAGACUGUUGGGCAGUGUAGAGUUCCUUUUGGAGAGCUUCCAAAAGGGGUUAUUACCAUGCAUGUUGUAGUGCAACCAUCUUUAGCAAAAGCAAAAACAGAGAAAAAAGUGGAUGAGGCCCCAAGGAAAAAUUUAUGUUCAUGUUCCAUAUUGUAAGAGAACAGCAGGGCGUUAAUGCAGGUUAAAGCUCGUGAGGUUGGCUUGAAUUUGCUAGGAUCUCAUGGCCUUGGAAAUUGGUUGCUGGAAGAAAGAAAGACAAUAAUUUGUAAAAUGGUGCUAUCCCUCAGUGUCGCACCUUAGUUUUGAGCUCAUUCCUGUGUAACAAAUAUGUUGGUGAUGUAUUUGCGUUCUAUAAAAUGCGUGUUUCUGUAUUUCUAUAGCAGCUGUAGUCCUUUUUAUAAUUUUUUUUAUACAAGGCUUUUGGUUUGACACUUCAUUAGGCCGCAUAUCCUUAGUAGAACAUGCUAUAUUCGCCGCUUACUAUUGAUUACUGGUAUGAGCUCAAAAC